This 425-nucleotide ribosomal RNA is filed under the name uncultured rumen bacterium. Its description in RNAcentral is "bacterial SSU rRNA". It matches the Rfam family "Bacterial small subunit ribosomal RNA", at positions 354 to 776 of the family's 1533-position model. The record is from RNAcentral.
GUGAGGAAUAUUGGACAAUGGCCGGAAGGCUGAUCCAGCCAUGCCGCGUGCGGGAAGGCGGCCCUAUGGGUUGUAAACCGCUUUUGCGGGGGAGCAAUAAGGUGCACGCGUGCACCGAUGAGAGUACCCUGCGAAUAAGCAUCGGCUAACUCCGUGCCAGCAGCCGCGGUAAUACGGAGGAUGCAAGCGUUAUCCGGAUUUAUUGGGUUUAAAGGGUGCGUAGGCGGUUUGCUAAGCGGGAGGUGAAAUGCCGGCGCUCAACGUCGGAAGUGCCUCCCGAACUGGUGGACUGGAAUGACUCUGCCGUGGGAGGAAUGUGUAGUGUAGCGGUGAAAUGCUUAGAGAUUACACAGAACACCGAUUGCGAAGGCAUCUCACGAAGGGUUGAUUGACGCUGAGGCACGAAAGCGUGGGGAUCAAACAGG